Long non-coding RNA from Ostrinia furnacalis (Asian corn borer), 305 nucleotides. RefSeq lists it as uncharacterized. NCBI's taxonomy places the organism in Eukaryota, Metazoa, Arthropoda, Insecta, Lepidoptera, Crambidae. The transcript has 3 exons. The record is from RefSeq and is a predicted model, not a curated record.
AUAAGCCAAAAUUGUGAUUGGGAAAUCGUAGUCUUCCACCGACGUUUCAAACUUAAGUAUCUUCUAUUACCCUCAACCAAAUCCAAUAUCAAAAUGCCUGCCCCAUGUGAACCCUGCAAAGACUCCUGCAAAGAUGGCGCUGAUUGCAAGGAUAACUGCACCUGUGAAGACAACUGCUCAGAUUGUUCUAAGACAGGUGGUUGCUGUUAAUAAAGAGGACCUCGCUCACUAGAAUGGAGAAACGUGCUGUGGCUCUUGGAUGGAUCUGAAAUUCUAGUUUAAUUCACAUUUAGUUGUUCAUGAAA